UUUUAUCGGUGGAUUCUGCUGGAGUAUCUGCUGCAGAUAAGCACUGGAGGGCUCCUGUUGCAAAUCAUCCUCUGGUGCGAUGGAAGGAUCUUUCUACUGGCACUUGGAGGGGACCCGAUCCGGUGUUGGUGUGGGCCCGGGGAUCUGUUUGUGUCUUUCCACAGGACAAUGAAGUUCCUCUUUGGGUUCCUGAGCGCUGUGUGCGCCCUGUGGCUGCUGCUGAAUCCCGACAUGGCAGAGACCUAUUGGGCCUUUGUGAAAAACUCUCCCCUUCUGAUGCCAAUGGGGAUUGAGAGUCCAAUACGGCCAGCCUUGACAAGCAUUAACAUAAGCCUAGGAACUGUAGCCAUAUGGUUGGAUUCUUCAGAAGACCUGCCAGCCUAAGUAGUGCUGGGAUCAAGAAAAAUGGGCCUUGGUGGUUCGUGUUCCUGGAGCUGCUUCCAUGCCAGUGGACCAUGGCAGUUAGACACAGAUGAUGCUCACACGCUCCAAAAGAGACUGACAUCGCUGUUGCCGUUGUUGCUGUUAUAGCAGUGGUGGCCACUGCUACUACUAUUUCUGGGAUGGCUAUUUCAUAAUUGGGUUCUACAGCUAGCACAAUGGAGACCCUGGCAGCAAAAGUAGCUACCACAGUUAGUUAAUCUUUUAUUGUAUUGGGCAUGAUAAAUUUAAUUCUACAUUUAUACAUUUAAAUUGGCUUUGAAAGUUGUAAAAAUUAUUAAAACUCAAGUUCCAUUUGCUUAUGGGAUACCACCUUACAAGGACUCCAAUUUGCAGUAAGGCUCGUUUAAGAAGGGAAUGGCUCAAUCGCCUUUAGCCUCCUGGCUAUGGGUGGGUUAGGACUUCUGUUGGUCUUUUCUGUGUCGCACAGAUUGCAAGCCCAGCGCCACUUUGAGAUCUUUGGCAGCAGUCACUCUACAGCUCACGUGGUUGAGUCUGUAUGAUAAUGAGUGUUCAGAGAUGGGUAAUGCUUGGGGGGGCGGUCAUCAACCUAAGACAGAGCACUUGUGUGGCCUGGGCAGGUGUCUCCAUGGCGGGUAAGGUGACCUGCUGACGUCCCAAGCAACCCAAGUCAGAAGCUCAUUUUUUAGUAAAAAGGGGGGACCUGUGGGCCCUGGCCCCCCACUGUGAGUGACAGCCGCCUUGCUUGCCGACCUUGACCAGAUGUCCUCCCUAUUCAGAUUCCCUGCCAGUUUCCUUCUCACCUAACUGAUCAACCGGAGGUUCUUUGUUCCUGUAUCCUGCAUUUGGUGUAAACAGCUUAGAUGCAAAAAUGUAGCAAACUUCUGCCCUCCGGGGAUCCGCCAUUGUGCUGUAAGCCUGUAUUUAAGGUUUCCUCCCUCUUUCAAUAAACGGCAUUCGGCUGGCAUUUGGCAUUCAGCCGUGGCGAAUGA
Molecule: long non-coding RNA, 1394 nt
Organism: Peromyscus californicus insignis
Lineage: Eukaryota; Metazoa; Chordata; Mammalia; Rodentia; Cricetidae
Exons: 2
Source: RefSeq, a predicted model, not a curated record